RNAcentral lists this long non-coding RNA (324 nucleotides) under Bos taurus (domestic cattle). Its description in RNAcentral is "long non-coding RNA NONBTAT016075". The record is from RNAcentral. Lineage: Eukaryota; Metazoa; Chordata; Mammalia; Artiodactyla; Bovidae.
UACAUUUGUCUUAGUUCAUUGUCUGUAUGAUUCUCCCUAUUCCUACUCUUCUUCCUUACCAAAUCUCUUUAUCUUUUUUGUAUCUCUGGUGUCUUGACCACUUCAAGCUACUUCUUUGCUUCUGGAUAGCCCCUUUCUAGGCAUAUAUUAAAGAAAGUCAAGGGACUUAAGGAAGUUCUGGAUUGUCUGACUUUAUCAUUUCAGCUGAGAAAAUAGAACCUAAUCUAAAAGAAAAGGGUAUGGGAAGGGCAGAUUGAAAAUAAUUUUUUUAAGAUCUUGUAUCUUGAAAUCACAAAACUGCCCAGUUAUUUAUUAGGUUGAUCU